GGAUUCCCCUAGUAACUGCGAGUGAAGCGGGAAAAGCUCAAAUUUAAAAUCUGGCAGCUUUGGCUGUCCGAGUUGUAGUCUGGAGAAGCGUCUUCCGCGCUGGACCGUGUACAAGUCUCUUGGAACAGAGCGUCAUAGAGGGUGAGAAUCCCGUCCAUGACACGGACUACCAGUGCUUUGUGAUGCGCUCUCAAAGAGUCGAGUUGUUUGGGAAUGCAGCUCAAAAUGGGUGGUAAAUUCCAUCUAAAGCUAAAUAUUGGCGAGAGACCGAUAGCGAACAAGUACCGUGAGGGAAAGAUGAAAAGCACUUUGGAAAGAGAGUUAAACAGUACGUGAAAUUGCUGAAAGGGAACCGCUUGAAGUCAGUCGCGUCUUGCAGAACUCAACCUGGCAUUUGCUUGGUGCACUUUCUGUAUGACGGGCCAACAUCAGUUUUGACUGCUGGAAAAAUUCCUUAGGAAUGUGGCACCUACGGGUGUGUUAUAGCCUUUGGUUGUAUACAGUGGUUGGGACUGAGGACCGCAGCACGCCUUAUGGCCGGGGUUCGCCCACGUACGUGCUUAGGAUGUUGGCGUAAUGGCUUUAAGCGACCCGUCUUGAAACACGGACCAAGGAGUCUAACAUGCCUGCGAGUGUUUGGGUGGUAAACCCGAGCGCGUAAUGAAAGUGAAAGUUGGGAUCCCUGUCGUGGGGAGCACCGACGCCCAUACCAGACCUUCUGUGACGGCUAUGCGGUUGAGCAUGUAUGUUGGGACCCGAAAGAUGGUGAACUAUGCCUGAAUAGGGUGAAGCCAGAGGAAACUCUGGUGGAGGCUCGUAGCGAUUCUGACGUGCAAAUCGAUCGUCAAAUUUGGGUAUAGGGGCGAAAGACUAAUCGAACCAUCUAGUAGCUGGUUCCUGCCGA
This 904-nucleotide ribosomal RNA is filed under the name Mycoaciella sp. RNAcentral's name for it is "partial large subunit ribosomal RNA". It matches the Rfam family "Eukaryotic large subunit ribosomal RNA", at positions 72 to 964 of the family's 3401-position model. The record is from RNAcentral. Lineage: Eukaryota; Fungi; Basidiomycota; Agaricomycetes; Polyporales; Meruliaceae.